This 253-nucleotide ribosomal RNA is filed under the name uncultured Methanomassiliicoccales archaeon. RNAcentral describes it as "partial 16S ribosomal RNA". It matches the Rfam family "Archaeal small subunit ribosomal RNA", at positions 474 to 727 of the family's 1478-position model. Lineage: Archaea; Methanobacteriati; Thermoplasmatota; Thermoplasmata; Methanomassiliicoccales. The record is from RNAcentral.
UACCCGCGCCCCGAGUGGUGGUCGAUAUUAUUGAGCCUAAAACGUCCGUAGCCGGUCUUCUAAAUCCUUGGGAAAUCUGUCGGCUUAACCGACAGGCGUUUAAGGGAUACUGGCAAUCUAGGGACCGGGAGAGGUGAGAGGUACUUCUGGGGUAGGGGUAAAAUCCUGUAAUCCUGGAAGGACCACCGGUGGCGAAGGCGUCUGACUAGAACGGAUCCGACGGUGAGGGACGAAGCCCUGGGGCGCAAACGGG